RNAcentral lists this ribosomal RNA (497 nucleotides) under uncultured bacterium. Its description in RNAcentral is "partial 16S ribosomal RNA". It matches the Rfam family "Bacterial small subunit ribosomal RNA", at positions 28 to 507 of the family's 1533-position model. The record is from RNAcentral.
GAUGAACGCUGGCGGCGUGCCUAAUACAUGCAAGUCGAGCGAGCGGACGAGAAGCUUGCUUCUCUGAUGUUAGCGGCGGACGGGUGAGUAACACGUGGAUAACCUACCUAUAAGACUGGGAUAACUUCGGGAAACCGGAGCUAAUACCGGAUAAUAUUUUGAACCGCAUGGUUCAAAAGUGAAAGACGGUCUUGCUGUCACUUAUAGAUGGAUCCGCGCUGCAUUAGCUAGUUGGUAAGGUAACGGCUUACCAAGGCAACGAUGCAUAGCCGACCUGAGAGGUUGAUCGGCCACACUGGAACUGAGACACGGUCCAGACUCCUACGGGAGGCAGCAGUAGGGAAUCUUCCGCAAUGGGCGAAAGCCUGACGGAGCAACGCCGCGUGAGUGAUGAAGGUCUUCGGAUCGUAAAACUCUGUUAUUAGGGAAGAACAUAUGUGUAAGUAACUGUGCACAUCCUGACGGUACCUAAUCAGAAAGCCACGGCUAACUACGUG